CGCCGCCAUUCUAAAUCCAGCUCCAUACAACGCUCCGCCGCCGCUGCUGCAGCCACCCGGACUGCGCCCCAGCACCCGCCUGCAGACAGCUCCGCCACCAUGGAGGACAUGAACGAGUACAGCAACACAGGGGAAUUCGCAAAGGGAUCCAAGAUCAAUGCGAGCAAGAAUCAGCAGGAUGACGGUAAAAUGUUUAUUGGAGGCUUGAGCUGGGAUACAAGCAAAAAAGAUCUGACGGAAUAUCUGUCUCGAUUUGGGGAAGUUGUAGACUGCACAAUUGAAACAGAUCCAGUCACUGAGAGAUCAAGAGGAUUUGGAUUUGUGCAUUUCAAACAUGCUUCUAGUGUUGAUAAGGUUUUGGAACUGAAAGAACACAAACUGGAUGGCAAAUUGAUAGAUCCCAAAAGGGCCAAAGCUUUAAAAUGA
Sapajus apella (tufted capuchin) is the source of this 426-nucleotide RNA transcript. It is a transcript of the gene named heterogeneous nuclear ribonucleoprotein D-like pseudogene, with no coding region annotated. The record is from RefSeq and is a predicted model, not a curated record. Lineage: Eukaryota; Metazoa; Chordata; Mammalia; Primates; Cebidae. The transcript has a single exon.